RNAcentral lists this unclassified non-coding RNA (265 nucleotides) under Hevea brasiliensis (rubber tree). The record is from RNAcentral. Lineage: Eukaryota; Viridiplantae; Streptophyta; Magnoliopsida; Malpighiales; Euphorbiaceae.
GCAAGACGUAAAUCUUCUGUUGGGAAUGGAAAUAGCAGGAAAAAUUUUGAAGUUGAUACUGAUGUCACUGAGAGAGGACAAAAAUCUGUUUUAAUGAAUAGUAAUGGUAAUGGUGGGAGUAUGGGAAUGAAAGCAGAUAAACAUGACCUAUGUGGCAAUAAUCCUAUGAAUAACAAGUUCACUGCAGGAAGAGGGUCUGGUCAUGAUGAAGUGGAUAAUUCAGUCAACUGCUCCUCUGAGGUCAAAAGGGCCAAAAGAAAGUCAG